Molecule: long non-coding RNA, 5140 nt
Filed under: Mytilus galloprovincialis (Mediterranean mussel)
Lineage: Eukaryota; Metazoa; Mollusca; Bivalvia; Mytilida; Mytilidae
Source: RNAcentral
AGGUACACAUGUUCCUUAUGAUAUGAUCAUUUCUAAUUUUUAUGCCAAAUUAGAUAUUUUACCUAAUUUCACGGUCCUUUGAACAUUGAAAAUGAUAGUGCGAUUGGGGCAUUCGUGUACUGUGGACUUAUUCUUGUUUAAAAUAUACUCUCAUCCUCCUGUAUUUAGGUUAAAAAGAUUUAUCAAUUUGAAUUCAACAAACUGCCACUUGAAACGACAGUGAAUUAGGCAUUGUCACUGAUGCAACGGUAAACAGUAGCUCCUUCUGUACUGUAAAUUAAGAAUCAAUACAACAUUGAAUUGUGAAUUGUAGCCCCUAAUUUACUGUAGGUUAUUAUAAGAAUUUAAACAAAAAAAGUGGGCUGUUAAUCAUGUGUUCCAUUCCAUAUCCUGACAAUUUGACAGUGGAUUUGCAUGAUGUGUGAUGCAUGCAUAGUAAAUGUUUACUCUGCUGACAGAUGGUGUAGCCUUUUUUGAAAUUCAUGCAAAUGCAUCCAUUUUUGUUUUGGGUUUCCCCUUGAUUUGAAUUUUCUUAAUGAAUUGUUGAGAUUUUAACAUAAGUAAGCUACCUGUAAUUGAAAAAGUAUUUAGUGAAGCUAACAAGAACAAAAUUCAAAUCAAGUUCUUCAGUGGUAUAUUUAAUUUAUUCAAUAUUAAUAGCCAAAGGUGAUUUGCGGCAAUCUCUCUAAAGAAACAGAAACCCUCAGUGCAUGACUUUGGCGAUUAUUAUUCAUCACAUGAAGAAUGUAGAAAUAUUUGUUAUGUUUAUGUAUUGAUAUUGUUAUCAGGAAAUUUUUUACGUUUUCAAUUAACUUUAUAUGUUUCAAUGAAGUAUUGGUAAAUAUUUUAACUAUUUAUCAAAUAUGGUCAGCUUAAAAAAUUGUAUAGUUUUGUUGGAUAUUGAUGAAGAAUAAACAAAUAUUGUUGAGAACAUGUAUUUAAUUUAAUUAUUUAUAAAGGGUUUAGUCCAUAUGAACCAGAGGGUCAGUGAAGCUAUAGACAAUUGCAAUCAAUUGGUCAUAUUAAGUCAUCAAAGGGGAUAUGGUCUAGUAAUUACUAUACUGUUUAUCAGAACUACUCAUUUAAUAAAAGAAUCAUAGAUUGUGUCAUGUACUAUACCAAUGUUCGAAAUUCAUAAAUCGAUUGAGAAAAAAAAACAAAUCCGGGUUACAAACUAAAACUGAGGGAAACACUUCAAUAUAAGAGAACUUUCAACACAACAGAAACACAACACUAAAAUGUAACACACAGAAACAAUGUAUAAUAUAAUAAUGACCAUUUUCCUGACUUGGUACAGGACAUUUAAAAAAAUAGCCAAAUCUCGAGCUUUAAUAGCAAUGUUCAAUAUAACAUUAAAAAACAUUUUAAGGGUUCUUGCCUUCUUUUGCUGUUAAUUGCAGGCUAAACAAAAAUGAGGGGAAAAAAAUAAUAAUAUUCCCCUUGAUACUAUCUUUUGAUUGAAAGAAGCUCCUGGCCAAGUUUGGUAAAAAUCCAUUUUUCUUUUUGAUUCAAUGACAAAUAAAAACCAAUGUUCGUUGGAACGACAUUUCCAAUUGGUGUCAUAAUUGAGGAUUCAUUUUGAUCUUGCAGGCCUCUACGAAAAUUGAACCACAUAUGUGACCCGCCAUGACAUUUCCUGGCUUAUGGAGGUAGAACGUAGUUGUUAGAAAAAUUAUAAACAUGAUCAAUAUUGUGAAGAAGAGAUAAACACUUUCCUUGGCUUCUUUUUUGCGGACGCCGAACUAUACAUCAUAUAUAAGAUUUGAAGAAGUUUUACUUUAUCGUUUGAAGUUAAAAAUAUUUGAAUUAAUUUUAAAUUGAUACACAAAAAAAAAAAUCAAAAUUCUCUGCUCUAUGGAUUUUCUUUCAUAAAUGGAGUCUAAAAUAUAUCCAUAACAAAUGCACCGUAUCAAAUGCAUAUAGAGACACCAGUCCUACUUAUAAACUGUUACGCGUCACAUACUAUGUAUAGAGACAUGCAUAAUAAAUCUCAAUUAAAAGAAGGAAUUCUUAAAAGAGGGACGAAAGAUACCAAAUGGACAGUCAAACUCAUAAAUCUAAAACAAACUGACAACCCCAUGGCUAAAAAUGAAAAAGACAAACGAAAAACAAUAGUACACAUGACACAACAUAGAAAACUAAAGAAAAUACAACACGACCCACAAAACUAGGGGUGAUCUCAGGUGCUCCAGAAGGGUAAGCAGAUCCUGCUCCACACGUGGCACCCGUCGUGUUGCUUAUGUGAUUACAAAUCCGGUAAAUAGUCUAAUUCGGUAGGUCACAUUCAUGAAAGGGAAAGGGAUCGUAGUUACGACGUAAGGAACAUAUCGAUAUCAUUUGUGAAACGGUUAUUUCAUAACGGUCAACCAACUCGUGAUGGCGUCCGUAAAAUUUACGAAGGGAGAUUUUACUUCACAUUUGGAACUCUUGGUUUUAUAGUUCCUUUGACAGUAACCCUCUAUCAAGAAAUCAUGAUAGGAAAUGCAAGCAGGGAAUAUCGUAUCAAUUGGGAGAUAUAUACCCCGUAUGCAGGUGCUGCUGGAAUGUUGCUACUAGAAAUGGAAAGUUCACAAUUGGAAAGCUGAAAUCAUCUCUUUUGUCGUAAAGUUUUGUUUUCAACCGACCCGCAUUAUCAAUUUUUAGAUGUAAGUCAAGAUAUGAAGCCGACUUAACUGUAUCUGUAGUAUCCUUUAUCUCCAAUUCGAUGGAUAGAUGCGUUCCAAUAGUCACCAAAUUUUGAAUUGUUUAGUGAAAGAAUGUCAUCUAUAUAGCGGAAAGUAGAGUUAAAGGAUAUUGCUAACUUCUUAUCUUUCUUCCUAAGAAGUUCCAAAAAAAGCUUACUUUGACAAAUUUUAAACUAACUUCAUUUCAACAAGUUUAAAUUACAUGUUCUAAAAUAGAGCUACAAAAAAAAUGCUCUGCUCUAUAGAUUUUCUUUCAUAAAUAUAUCCAUAAUAAAUGCACUGUAUCAAAUGCACAUAUGAAAACACCAAGAAUAUACUGUCGCGUCGCAUUCUUUGUAUAGAGACAUGCAUGAUAAAUCUAUUAAAGACAAUUAAAAAAAAAAAUGAGUUCUUAAGCUUCUUUUACAAAUUAUAAACAACUUCGUUUCAACAAGUUUAAAUUAAUGUUCUAAAAUGCUAAAAUUAUAUAUUGUAGUAUUUAAAAUUUAAUUCUUUGAAAUUUUAUUCAAAUACGCUAUUGAACAUCUAAGAGCCAAUUAAUACAAUAAUUUUUUGUAUUUAGUGCCUUCAAUAAAUGAACUCGUCAUAUGAACAGUCUCAUUUUCAUACCGGUAUUCGAAAUGACUCGUUUCAUUGCUAUUACAACAAAUAUUCAUAAACAUGACAGAGUUUUGUUUCGGAAUAUUAUAUAGACAAAUAUACAAAAAGCAAAUUUUAAACAAUGUACCCUCCUAAGCCUGGAAGUGGCUAGUCACAUAUAGUUAACGGCGUUUUUUCUCACAAUGAUGUUCUACCACCAUAAGCUGGAUAUGUCGCUGUUGGCAAUAUGUGUUAAUGUCUCACUUUCGUGGAAAAUGAACACCAAGUAUUUGAAUCAAAGUUUUGUAUAGUAUAAAAUGAUCAAUGUCUUUUUGAGGGGUUCAGUUUUCCAUGGUGAGAGGGGUCAAAAUACCAGAGGUGGACGAAAAAAAAUAAGUUAUGAUGACAUCGUAAGUUUCUUAGUAAAUACUUCAAUGGUGUUUUUAGAUGAAAUACUGCAAUUCCAAUGUAAGUUUUAUGGUCAGCAUGAUGAAUUGCCUGCAAUUCAUACAAUGUAAGUUUUAUGGUCAGCAUGAUGAAUUGAAUGCCCGACGAAUUGGUUGUCUAUGUCUCAUCCCAACAGCGACAUGUUUUCGUUGUUUUAGAUCUUUAGAUACAAAAAAAGUCAUAGUCGUCUAAUCAGUAAUGUUAUCGAAUGUGUCCUUUUGCCCAUUGUGACAUUUUAUUUUGUCACAAUCUAUUAUGAAUUUAAAUGUUAAACAGAUAACAUUAUCUUAUUUUUUACGCAGAGAUUAACAAAACCAUGAAAUCAAAUAUCCGCAAAAAUUCAAGAUUUCCCCUAUCCACAAAAAAUUGAUACCCAUGAAAAUAAAGGAAUCAACAGUUUAUCAGAACACAAAAAAAAAUAAUUUAUAAACAGAAAUCUACUGAGAUAAAGCAGCUUGUUUACUCAUAAAGAAAUCAUUUUUAACCUUGGCUUAUCUUAGAUUUACAAGUUUUUUAAAUAACAGUUGUCCUCGCCCUUCAAUAUGUGUUAAUUAUGAAGUGUUAAGUCAAUAUGAACAAAUGUCAUCAGUCAGCACGAACAAACAUCCUCAGACCAAUGAGAUAAAUGCAUGUGGGAUUACAAGUCUUAAAUAUUUCAAAAGAACUGUUGAGUAACAUUACAAUUAAUUUGUAUGCCCCACCUACAAUAGUAGAGGGGCAUUAUGUUUUCUGGUCUGUGCGUCCGUCCGUUCGUUCGUCUGAGUUUCCGUCCAUGCGUCCGUUUGUCCGUCUGUCCCGCUUCAGGUUAAAGUUUUUGGUCAAGGUAGUUUUUGAUGAAGCUGAAGUCCAAUCAAUUUGAAACUUAGUACACUUGUUGCUUAUGAUAUGAUCUUUUAGACUUUUGACCCCAAUUUCAAUGGCACUGAAAUAGAAAAGAAAGUGGAGUUUCAGUUAAAUUUUUGUCAAGGUACACAUUCCUUAUGAUAUGAUUUCAAAUUUUAUCAAAUAGACUUUUACCUAAUUUCACGGUCCUUUGAACAUUGAAAAGGAUAGUGCGAGUGGGGCAUCCGUGUACUGGGGACACAUUCUUGUUUAAGAUAUACUCUCAUCCUCCUGUAUUUAGGUUAAAAGAUUAUAAUUCUGAAUUCAACAAAUGCCAUGAAACGACAGUGAAUUAGGCACUGUCAUGAAUGCAACAGUAAACAGUAGCUCCUAUGUACUGUAAAUAUAAGAAUUAAUACAACAUUGAAUAUGUAGCUCUAUUUACUGUAGGUUACUAUAAGAAUUUAAACAAAUAAAGUGGGCUGAUGUUUAUCAUGUGUUCCAUUCCAUAUGCUGACAAUUUGACAGUGGAUUUGCAUGAUAUGUGAUGCAUGCAUAGUAAAUGUUUACUCUGCUGACAGAUGGUGUAGCCUUUUUUGAAAUUCAUG